Molecule: unclassified non-coding RNA, 147 nt
Filed under: plant metagenome
Description: partial contains 5.8S ribosomal RNA, internal transcribed spacer 2, and large subunit ribosomal RNA
Source: RNAcentral
GCCCCUGAAAGCCGCUCUCAAGCGCGGUGCACUCAUCACGGCUGCCAACUGGCCCCUGGUUGCGGUGCAGUUCAUCGCCGAGGCGACACUGAAGCUGCUGCUGGCAGUCCCGGUGAUCGGCGGGUUGUUUCUCGCCGUCCUGCUGCU